GGGCUCACCAUUUUCCUCAGGAACGAGAAACUUGUUCUCUCAGUGUGUCCAAAUCCAAGUAGUUGAAAGAGAGGGGUUUGAAUCAGUCAUCUCUUUGAUAGUGUGUAGCACUCGCUAAAGCCCCAGUGUUUACUUGGGUAAAUCCCUUUAAGCCAUGUAGUUCUAGAAAAUAAGCUUGCUCAGAGCAGUCCGUUGUCCAUUUAAAAUCUAAUUCUUUAAAAGGUAAAGCAAAUUCUAAUUUGUGAUCUGUAAAAAAUACAACUAGCAGCAUUUUUCUUGUAAAACACUUCAAGUAAUUUCAGUUUUGGUUAAAUACAUACAAAGGGGUGUUUUUUAUGGAAGUAGCUUGAUGAAUAUAAGCGCAGGAGUAGGAGCCAGGCUCCUCUAAUUUUGUAUGUUUUUCCACUGGAUCCUCUGUGGCCAUUUUGGCAAGUUGCUAGAACUGUCAUUGUUACAAUAGUGGUAAUACCUACCUACCUCACAGGGAUGUUGUGAGGAUUAGCUUAUGCCUAUAAAAUGCAUUGAGGAUCUGAGAUGCUAUGUAAAUAUUAAAUAUUUUAAUUUUAGUUUUGUGAGGUGUAAGAUUUACUGUAACGAAAACAGAAGAUUUUCAUACUUACAAAGCCCCGUAGAGGCAGCAGUGGUGCAGUAUUGCCCAGGACUGGUCUACUGCAGUACAGUAAUGCUUACUGUAAAUUGUAGUUAUUUCAAUUACAGCUGAUUGAAAUGGUGGCUUCUUAAAUAAGAUUCCCCACCAGUGUCCCUCAGUUCUGGUCUACAUAGUGAGAGGACAGUUGUUGUUCAGGCUUUGGUGCCUCUACUUGUGACAAGUGCCACUUGUGGUGGUAGGUUUUUUGUUUAAUUUGGUUUAUUUUUUUACAUUUUUCUGCAAAGAGCCACUCAUUUCUCCCAUAUCUGUUCCAGUCGCUCAGUAUAACCAAAGCCUAAUGAUAACAAUUAAAAAGUAAAGAGCCAGCUCUGUCCCCCCAUCAGUUUGCUUUUAAUACGAGUAGAUAGUGCCCUCUUUGCAGUAAAUGAGAUUAAUGCUUUCUAGCACUAAUCAGGAAGCAAAUCAUGAAGUGUGAUUUGCUUUAGAGCCUUAAGCUCUUGGCUGUCUUACAAAACCCUUUUUUAAGUACGAGAUUUCUUGGGGCCCUAGCAAU
This 1163-nucleotide long non-coding RNA is filed under the name Strigops habroptila (Kakapo). Its description in RNAcentral is "lncRNA (ENSSHBG00005013791.1)". The record is from RNAcentral. Lineage: Eukaryota; Metazoa; Chordata; Aves; Psittaciformes; Psittacidae.